This 259-nucleotide ribosomal RNA is filed under the name uncultured bacterium. RNAcentral's name for it is "partial 16S ribosomal RNA". It matches the Rfam family "Bacterial small subunit ribosomal RNA", at positions 793 to 1055 of the family's 1533-position model. The record is from RNAcentral.
GUCCGCACAGUAAACGAUGAAUACUAACUGUUUGCGAUACACAGCAAGUGGUACAGUGAAAACGUUAAGUAUUCCACCUGGGGAGUACGCCGGCAACGGUGAAACUCAAAGGAAUUGACGGGGGCCCGCACAAGCGGAGGAACAUGUGGUUUAAUUCGAUGAUACGCGAGGAACCUUACCCGGGCUUGAAUUGCAUUUGAAAGUCGUGGAAACAUGGCCGCUAGCAAUAGCAAAUGUGAAGGUGCUGCAUGGUUGUCGU